CUUGACCGAGCCGAGCAGCAGCGGGCUGUCGCGGUCCUGGCCGUAGGUGGCGAGGAUCGCCUGCGCCUC
RNAcentral lists this antisense RNA (69 nucleotides) under Actinoplanes awajinensis subsp. mycoplanecinus. RNAcentral describes it as "ASpks TB sRNA". It matches the Rfam family "ASpks TB sRNA". The record is from Rfam by way of RNAcentral. Lineage: Bacteria; Bacillati; Actinomycetota; Actinomycetes; Micromonosporales; Micromonosporaceae.